CCUACGGGUGGCAGCAGUGGGGAAUAUUGCUCAAUGGGGGAAACCCUGAUGCAGCAACGCCGCGUGCGUGAAGAAGUAUUUCGGUAUGUAAAGCUCUAUCAGCAGGGAAGCCGAAAGACGGUACCUGACUAAGAAGCCCCGUCUAACUACGUGCCAGCAGCCGCGGUAAUACGGAGGGGGCCAGCGUUAUCCGGAUUUCAUGGGUGUAAAGGGAGCGUAGACGGGUGUGCAAGUCUGAAGUGAAACCCCGUGGGUCAACCGCGGAACGGCUUUGGAAACUGGAUAGCUUGAGUACUGGAGAGGCAGGCGGAAUUCCUAGUGUAGCGGUGAAAUGCGUAGAUAUUAGGAGGAACCCCAGUGGCGAAGGCGGCCUGCUGGACAGAAACUGACGUUGAGGCUCGAAAGCGCGGGGAGCAAACAGGAUUAGAUACCCGAGUAGUC
This 441-nucleotide ribosomal RNA is filed under the name uncultured bacterium. RNAcentral describes it as "partial 16S ribosomal RNA". It matches the Rfam family "Bacterial small subunit ribosomal RNA", at positions 338 to 795 of the family's 1533-position model. The record is from RNAcentral.